Molecule: long non-coding RNA, 1803 nt
Organism: Cucumis melo (muskmelon)
Lineage: Eukaryota; Viridiplantae; Streptophyta; Magnoliopsida; Cucurbitales; Cucurbitaceae
Exons: 2
Source: RefSeq, a predicted model, not a curated record
AAUAAAAAUAAUAGUAAUAAUAAUAUUAUUAUUUUUAUUUAAUAGCCCAUGGAAAGUUGUGCGAUCCAUCCCUUCCAAUUGAAACCUUAAUCUCUCAAAGGAAAAAAAACCCUCAUCAUCCCUCGCCGUCGCCACAUUCUCUUUUGCAGCUGUCUCUAUUUCGGUCAGCCGCCUCCAUCCGUCAAUCGUCUCGGUUGUCGUCUGUUCGUCGAUCAUCGCAAACGUCGAAGCUCCCCUUCACAUUAACACCCCAACCCGAGUCGUCUUCGUUCGCAUGAACCGAGUCAACAACAUCUUUCAGUCGCACUCUCCUCCACGUCUCCUUCGCCUUCCGCCGCAUCGCUCCACUCAGCAGUCGUCAACGAGCCUCACCGGUCCGGGUCGACGGAUUCAAAAUCGCCCGAGCCGUCUCACGAUCGAGCCGACCAGCUGCGUCAAGCGCAUCGUCGAGCUUCACCUUUCGUCUGCCAUUGCCGCCAACCCGAGCCGCCCUGCGCGUGUGAGCCACCUACCCGAGUCGUUUUCCCUGCCUUAGCCGAGCCGAUCCUUCUCUUCCAAGCCAUUUGAGCCGCCAAGCUUAAUUUUUCCCUUUUCACCUAUAUUUUUUGUAAGUUUGAUUUGAGUUUGGUUUAAUGCCCAACAAAGACUAAUUUUUGGACCCUAAAUAAUUUAAUUUUAGAUUAAAUUAAAUUAUUUUUCUUAAAGUACUGGUUAGAUAAUUGGAAGUAAGUUGUGGAACGUUGUCCUAAGUUAAGGUUGAGUUGGAUCCGAUAUCAACUUUGGGUAGGUUGAAUUAUCUAGAUUUUUGGAUCCUAAUUUAACUGCAAAUUUAGUUAUCUUAGUAUUUUAUCCUUACUGUUUAGGAUUUUUUGGAAUUUUUUGGAGAAGCUUGACUUUGCUGUCAGGAGUGUUUUCUGUGAAUUAAGCUAAUCUCCAAGUAAGAGAUUCUCCUACUAGAGCUUCAAAUUGAAGUAAGAGCUUGCAUGUAACUUUUCCAUUAUGCAUUGAUGUAGCUAAUAUGCAUAAUAUGUUUAUGUUUAUGAUGAUUGCUAGUCAUGACUAGUCUAGGUUAUGAUGACUGAUAGAUCCGACUGAGUUAUGUUUAUGAUGAUGAUAUUUGACAUUGUUGAUGCUUAUGCAUGAAGUAUUAAUCUCAUGAUUAAGAAUGUUUCGAUUAAUACUCAGGUCAUGUUUAUGAUGAUGCUAUAUGAUGAUGCUAUGUUAUGUUGCAUGCUAUGGAUAGGGUGUACUGUUAGCUUUUUUUAUUAGAGUCGUAUCCACAUAAGUGUUCCUCGAGAUCACCACCUUUUUAUGAUUGUGUAGUCCGACGGGAUCACUAGUCCAGUAUGAGAUGAUAUGUUUAUGAGUGGCUCGAUCGGUUCACUUACAACCCGAUUGUCUUAGUGUUUCUUUCGAGAUUCACUAAAGACCAGUUUGUCCUAGGUGUUCCUUGUGUUCAUCGAAGACCAAUUUUGUCCUAGGUGUUCCUUUGAGUUCACCGAAGACCAGAGAUGUUCCUACGGGAUCUCAGAUUGCACGUGUUCGGGAACAUGCCAGUUAGAGGUACAUGUAGAUGAAAGAGCAGAGGAAAGCUGGCGAAUGACAAGAAGUGACCGUGACAUGCCAUAGGGAACGUUUUGCUUCCACCUUAUGUUAUUAGAUUUCGAUUUCAGUAUUUAUGCACUUUUAUUUAUGUUACUCUUUAAAACUAGAUAGGGCCCGGACUAGGAAUUAGUUAUUUGAGAUCUAUUUCUAUCGAUUCAUUUAUUUAUCAUAUUAAAUGAGUAUUUGAAGUUUUGACCA